RNAcentral lists this ribosomal RNA (274 nucleotides) under uncultured bacterium. RNAcentral describes it as "partial 16S ribosomal RNA". It matches the Rfam family "Bacterial small subunit ribosomal RNA", at positions 523 to 796 of the family's 1533-position model. The record is from RNAcentral.
AUACGGAGGGUGCGAGCGUUGUUCGGAAUUAUUGGGCGUAAAGAGCAUGUAGGCGGUCUGUUAAGUCUGGUGUGAAAGCCCGGGGCUCAGCCCCGGAAGUGCAUUGGAUACUGGCAGACUUGAGUAUGGGAGAGGAAAGCGGAAUUCCGAGUGUAGGAGUGAAAUCCGUAGAUAUUCGGAGGAACACCAGUGGCGAAGGCGGCUUUCUGGACCAAUACUGACGCUGAGAUGCGAAAGCGUGGGGAGCGAACAGGAUUAGAUACCCUAGUAGUCC